Molecule: long non-coding RNA, 592 nt
Organism: Frieseomelitta varia
Lineage: Eukaryota; Metazoa; Arthropoda; Insecta; Hymenoptera; Apidae
Exons: 3
Source: RefSeq, a predicted model, not a curated record
CUUCUUUUCUAUUCCAUUUAUAGUGAUCGUUCUUCUUCUAUUUCUUUGUAACGACUGCAACAGAAAAUAGGAAAAAGAAUUCUUACAAAUUGGUUUUCACAAGAGCAAAGUGGUAUGUGUAGUAUAGCGUUCAAAGUAGCAAACGAUGAUGAAAGUUCACUUAGGUCUUCGUUAGUCAUUUUACUGUCAAGUAAGAGAGAAACGGUCAAUGAUUAAACUGUGGUGUAUGAUGAAAGUUAAACUGUCAAAGGAAGUAUAAUUUGAAAGAGCUUCAGAGAGAUUCACUUGAAAAAUGUUAAACAAUUAAUAAUUGAGAAAUGCAGUUUACAACUAAAUAUAGUUAAUUAAGGAAGAAGAAGAAAGGAAUCAUUUUACCUCUUGGUGGAACAGGAGGUGCAGGCAUCUUCUUCGUGGCGCCAGUUUUUUGAUCCUGAGGAAUAUCGACGUUCAUGUAUUCUGGUAGUUUACCAGUAUCUAGCACGUCCACGCCUUCUGAAUCAUUCAUCAGUCUCGACCUUCGUCGAGUUCUUCGAGGCCUCAGACGCAUGGCUCAAGUCAAGUGAAUGCCUUUGCUCGGUCUGCUGACGUUGAA